AUAAAUAAAUUGAAUUAGUUAAUUUAGGGGUCUUGCUAACACUUGACCCACAUUGAGGAGCAUUUCGGGCUCCUCAGGAAAUUUUUUGUCAGGGUACAGGUCGUCCUAGGGGCCCACGCCUACUUUUGCGAGGCGCCCCAGUAAAGCCGGGGACCAGACCCU
Molecule: small nuclear RNA, 162 nt
Filed under: Phlebotomus papatasi
Lineage: Eukaryota; Metazoa; Arthropoda; Insecta; Diptera; Psychodidae
Description: U12 minor spliceosomal RNA
Source: RNAcentral